Octodon degus (degu) is the source of this 108-nucleotide small nuclear RNA. Lineage: Eukaryota; Metazoa; Chordata; Mammalia; Rodentia; Octodontidae. The record is from Ensembl.
AUGCUGGCUUUGGUAGCACAUACACCAAAAUUGGAAUGAAACAGAGAAGAUUAGCGUGGCCCCUGCACAAGGAUUACAUGAAAAAAAAAAAAAACCUACCAUAAUUGG